Molecule: long non-coding RNA, 231 nt
Filed under: Elaeis guineensis (African oil palm)
Lineage: Eukaryota; Viridiplantae; Streptophyta; Magnoliopsida; Arecales; Arecaceae
Description: long non-coding RNA (EGUI_LNC054060)
Source: RNAcentral
CGCCCCACACCAGAUGUCUAAAUAUUCUCCACGCCCCACUUAUUUUCCAUCAUGAAAAAUCAGAUCUCUCACAGUGAGAAAAGCCUUCCUUUUGUUGCACAAAAGAGAGCUCUUUUAAGGUAUGGCAUGGAGGUAGUUGGGAUGAGAUCCAACUUCAUCUUGAUAAGGAAUUCCAUUCAAAUCAAAUUUGAACUUUCAUUUUAAAAUAGAUUUUAUCCAUGUUUGUGCAUG